AGUGAACGCUGGCGGUAGGCCUAACACAUGCAAGUCGAACGGCAGCACAGUAAGAGCUUGCUCUUACGGGUGGCGAGUGGCGGACGGGUGAGGAAUACAUCGGAAUCUACUUUUUCGUGGGGGAUAACGUAGGGAAACUUACGCUAAUAACGCAUACGACCUACGGGUGAAAGCAGGGGAUAUUCGGACCUUGCGCGUUUGAAUGAGCCGAUGUCGGAUUAGCUAGUUGACGGGGUAAAGGCCCACCAAGGCGACGAUCCGUAGCUGGUCUGAGAGGAUGAUCAGCCACACUGGAACUGAGACACGGUCCAGACUCCUACGGGAGGCAGCAGUGGGGAAUAUUGGACAAUGGGCGCAAGCCUGAUCCAGCCAUACCGCGUGAGUGAAGAAGGCCUUCGGGUUGUAAAGCCCUUUUGUUGGGAAAGAAAAUCAGCAGGUUAAUACCCCGCUGUUCUGACGGUACCCAAAGAAUAAGCACCGGCUAACUUCGUG
RNAcentral lists this ribosomal RNA (492 nucleotides) under uncultured bacterium. Its description in RNAcentral is "partial 16S ribosomal RNA". It matches the Rfam family "Bacterial small subunit ribosomal RNA", at positions 29 to 507 of the family's 1533-position model. The record is from RNAcentral.